RNAcentral lists this long non-coding RNA (340 nucleotides) under Elaeis guineensis (African oil palm). RNAcentral's name for it is "long non-coding RNA (EGUI_LNC023304)". Lineage: Eukaryota; Viridiplantae; Streptophyta; Magnoliopsida; Arecales; Arecaceae. The record is from RNAcentral.
AAGCCCCUAGACCAGGGAAAGUUGGCUCCGAAUUGGGAAGGACCCUACAAGGUAGCGGACACCUACGGGCCGAGAGCUUACCGACUGGAGACUCUAGAAGGAAGCACCAUUCCCCGGACUUGGAAUGCCGACAAUUUGAAGUUGUACUACCAGUAAACUCUGUGUGCCCUUGUUCGGAAUACAAACUCAGCUUCAAAGCUUCGGAGUUUAGAAUCUCAACCCUCCAACGGCGCGUCGGCGCUUGCUGGUAGUGCGAACCCCGACGCCAUGGCUUAGGCCCAGCGUUCCAUUGGAAAUCUACGACCUAAUCGUCGAUGGCGCGUUGGACUCUUGCGACGAC